GGUCUCUGAUCAGCUAUCCUGCCUGACACAGGAACCAGAGUGAGAAGUCCGAACCAGAACACCUGUUAUGCGAAUGUUAUGUGUAUGAUGCUAAUGCAUAUGAUGCACAUGAUAAUGAUCAUCUCUCAGGCCUUCAAAGAGUCUGAUUCAUCUUCGAAAAAAAGCAAUCUGCAGCAACGGCACAGUAUACAAGAGCAAUGAGUACCGAGUGAA
This 213-nucleotide long non-coding RNA is filed under the name Lathyrus oleraceus (garden pea). Its description in RNAcentral is "Pisum sativum (pea) long non-coding RNA (PSAT_LNC002885)". Lineage: Eukaryota; Viridiplantae; Streptophyta; Magnoliopsida; Fabales; Fabaceae. The record is from RNAcentral.